GGCCUGUUAGCUCAUCUGUACAGACCAUGGUGCUCAUAACACCAAGGUCAUGAGUUCAAUCCCCAUACAGGCCA
Molecule: transfer RNA, 74 nt
Filed under: Poecilia formosa (Amazon molly)
Lineage: Eukaryota; Metazoa; Chordata; Actinopteri; Cyprinodontiformes; Poeciliidae
Rfam family: tRNA
About the family: Transfer RNA (tRNA) molecules are approximately 80 nucleotides in length.
Source: Rfam by way of RNAcentral